RNAcentral lists this long non-coding RNA (4089 nucleotides) under Homo sapiens (human). Its description in RNAcentral is "non-protein coding LINC01023:6". The record is from RNAcentral. Lineage: Eukaryota; Metazoa; Chordata; Mammalia; Primates; Hominidae.
GCGGCGUCGGGUUGGAAAACCAGGAGAGCAUGGAGCUUUUUCGCUGGUCCGGCGCGGUCUCUUGCGUUCCUGUGGCGGGCACCUGACUCCCCAUGCCCGAGUACUGUCCUCAGGCGGAACGGCGUCUGCAGCGAGGAGCGGGGUUCCAGCAGGCUCGGCUGACGCGGUCCCUGGCAUUUCCCGUGCUGGCCCUGGGUCGCCCUCGAUGCUGCUUCCCGCUGGGAGCCUCCUUCUGACGGCGGAAAGGAGCUUCACCUGGGGCGGCCGGCGGGGAACGGAGAAGAAUCCACCGGGGAAGUGGACGGGGCUGGCUCCCGGGCCUGGCGCUGCGGCUCUCGGGCCGUCAGACCUCCCGCGGGUUGCGUCACUUUCCUCGGUUUUCUAGACAGCAGUUGUGGGGUUGAAUCCUUGCCGUGGUUUUGUAAGAAUUAAAUGAGAUAAUGAACGCGAACACCAAUCAUUGCUCUUUGUUGGGUGCUUCCUGUGGGCCUGGCAAUAUUAACAACACGAGCUCAUUCAUGCAUUCAUUUGCUACUCAGUGACUUUCCUGUCAAUACUGCAAGGUGCUGGAGAUGAGCCCCCACUCUUUGGUCAGUAAAACUGCCAAGAUCACCGACCUUGUGAAGACAUUUGAGGAUGAGAGGUUGGUUGGAGCCUGGACGUGGAGACAGACUCUAAAUAGUUAACUACAAGACACAUGUAAUUACAACUUUGAGAGCUUAUAGCGGGAGGCCCUUUUGGGAAGGGGGUGGAGAUGGAGAAGAGGAAGAAAGAAAGGGCUUCCCUGAGGAAGUAAUAUUGCAGCUGUGACCUGACAGAUGAGGCCGAACCAGCUAGACUCGUGUUUCAGGCCUCGGGAAUAGCAUAAGGACUCCAGCUGGCUCCUUCCGGGUUGAGUCCUUAUGCUGAAAUUGGUAUUUGGCACACACCAGUAGUAGAACGCCACUCAAUGCCUUAUUCUCUUCCCCUUCUCUCAGCUCUGUCCCCUCCACAUAGUAGGACAAUGAAACUGGUAACUAUUUUUGGUCCGAAUAGUCCUUCCAUUAUUAUCUGUUAUAGUCCACCAUGCAGGUUCUUCCUAACUCCUUUUGAUCAAAAUAGAUAUUUUUGAAAAUGUGAAGAAAGCAGUAUCGUAUCUUGUAUGGUUUCUCAUUGCCUUCUAAGUCAGAUAUAAACAACGAACUUGCUUGAAAUGUUCUCUAUCAGACCAAGGACCCAUAUUUAAUUCCAACUUACACUCUGCUACACCCUUUCGCUAAAUUCUUUAGUUGAUGUUAACUGCAUUUGGAACCCUGUAUUCAGCGUUGAAUUGCACAUUCUGAAGCAAUUGUGUUCUUACUCAGCACGCUCAUUUCUGUAUCCCAAGUAUCUCCCUGCCUCCAGAACAUGUUUACUCUUUAACCACUUCCUGAUAAUACAGUAGGCUACCAUUACUCUAAAUAGUUGCAGUUAUUGAAUAUAGGCACAUUUUUAAAUUAUAAGAAUCCUAUCCCAAUCCAAGGUACAAUUUGCUGAUCGCAUACUGAUUCAUUUUCCUCCCACUCUGGGUCCUUUCAUCUGCUGUUCUCCCAGUCCAGAUGCCAGCCAGGCAUUUGAGAACCAUCUGAUGGUAACAGGAUGGAGGCUGACUCAACUUCACUCCACCACCUGCCUUCCUGCCUUCAGGGAGAUUUUGUACAUAGCUUAUCCUUUAAGUUCUUCUGCUUGUUACUGCUCACAGCACUGUGAUUCUACUUUAGGCACCUUCUGUACAUUCAUAUUCAUUACUUUUUUUCUCCUCUUUCCUGUUUAUGGUUAGAAAGGUGCUUCACCAAUCUAUUUUAGAACCAAAGAAGAGAUCAAAUUAUAAUAACAUGAGCAUAGUAUUAUGCUAUAGGAUACUAGUAAGAAACUCAGUUCCUCCUCUUUGUUCCCAUAAUAUUUUGUGAAUAUGUCUAUGAUAGUAUUUAAUACAUUGCAUUAUGACUUGUUGUUUGUGUCAUUCUCCACUUAUUAAUUAGACUUCUUUGAGGAUAGAGAUUGAGUUUUUAAAUUUGUUUCUUCAUUUGUUCUUUUACUUAGCUCAAUGCCUGGCAAAAAAACAAAUCAUUGUUAAAUCAGUUUUUAGGUGAAAUAGGGAUAAGUGGGAGGCUAACUUAUCCAGUCUUUGAAAAUGCCUAGCGAUCCCCUUCAGAAUCCUCACACAUCAUCAUCAAUCUUCUUACCCUGUAAAUAAAUAUACUUUUCUCACACAUUAAAGAUAUUUGUAAAAUAAAUUUAUUCAGUUUUUUUUUCUAUUGCAGUGAUAUGUGUGUGUAUAUAUGUAUAUAGUUGUAUUUAAACUAAACAGGAGAAAAGGAGCAAGCCUGUGAAGUAUUAUUUCCGCAUUUACCAGCAAGACAAUUAUCUCAGAAGAUUAAAAUGUGAGAGAUACAACUAGUGUUCAAACCCUGCUCUUUCUGAUGCCACAGUCAAUGUUCUUUCUUUGGUAGAAACCAAACUGUAUUUUUCUUAUUGUUCAAGUAAUGUAAUUAACUAUGGAAAAAUAAGAAAUUACAGAUUAACAAAAUAAAGCAAAAGUAAGUAAAAUUCAUCCAUGAUUUCAUCAUUCUGAGCUAAUAAUUGUUAACAUUUUUGUGAAUACAUAUACAUACACACACAUUACAUAUGCACAGUUGUUUGGGGUUUUUUACAAAAAGGGAAUCACACUAAUUUUAAUCUUUUAUAAUCUACUUUUUUGCUUAACAAUAUGUGAUAACUCCUUGAUUCAUUUAUUCAUUUAUUCUAAGGUUUUUCAUCCUGGGCACUGUUUACAUAUCGGGCCAGGUACUUCCUUGUUAUGGAGGGUGAUAAAAAUUCUUUGCUUGACCAAACUUUAUUCAGGCUCCUGAACCUUCUCCUAGGCCUGUCUGUAUACUUUCUUGUAAAAUCAGAUUUAGCAACAAACUGUUGAGUCAGUUUAGCAACUGCCCCCCAUCACCCGCAUCCUUGAUAUAUGAUCACCAUCAAUAUGUUCCUCAUCCUCCAACAUCCCUUAGACGAAAUCUAAUAACCCUAGCCUGUCAUAAGCAAGAAUCCUGUUAGGUUGUGUUAGCCAGAACCCUCCUUACCCUUGAUGCUUCCUCUUAGCAGUUGUCCAUUCACUUCUCCUACCCUGCUCCUUCUCUAUAAAUUCCCACUUGCCCCAUGCUAUAUACAGAGUUGAGCACAAUCUCUCUCCCCAACUGCAAAAUCUUAUUGCAAUAGUCCCUAUACCUAUGGCAAUGAUCUUGAAUAAAGUCCUCCUUGCCAUGCUUUAGCAAGUGUCAUUGAUUUCUUUUACAGGGCCUGUCCUAUGCAAUGUACAAUGCUUAACAGCAUCCCUGGCCUUUAUCCACUAUAUGCCAUUAGUACUACCCCUUCUUCAUUGUGGCAAACAUACAUGUCUCCAGACGUUGCCAAAUGUCUCCUGGAGGACAAAAUUGUCCCUGGUUGAGGACACUGAUUUAUUCUAUAUUACAUUAAUCAAUUUUCUUUUCUUGACACUUGCCCACCCAAUGACUAUUAGAAACUCAAUAGUAAAUGCUUUGCUUUUUGCAUUUUGUUCUAGAAAUAGUUAAUAUCAAAUUAGCAGAAGUUUUACAAAAUUAGAUGUUUUAAACUCCUUAUUAAACUCUGAAAUAAUGCUACCAGACUCUGGAAUGUUCUUUCGUCUUAGAAUGUGCCCUCUUUAUGACCUAUGGAUUUGUUGUUUAAAAUUUAAAAGUUAGCUUUGAGUGAAUGAAGCAUAAAUUAUCUUAAAGCAAAGGUAUAGUAACAUUAUGAAAAAGAGUAUUAAGACUGAUAGCCUUUGGGAGAAGUGAAUUUGCUAAAUGAGUGACUUUGAUCAAAUUUUUAUGCACAGAUAUAUGUACUUCGUAGAUUUUUAUCAUUGCAAUGUCUUUUGUAUCUUUGAUUUUCAAAAGAUUUCUAAAAUCAGGACAUUCUGACACAAAAAAUUCUUGAACAUCUUUCAAAGUUUAAAAAGUCAGAAGUUUUUAGAAGCUGUUAUAUUUUACUUUUUAAAAAAUGUUUUUAUUGUUAAAUGAAAACAUAUUAUAAUAAUUGCAUAAAAACAUAAGUAUGCUGUUU